UCUCUGUUAGUAUAUCGGUUAGUACACGCGCCUGUCAUUUGGGGACCUUCCUCUCAGUGGCGCGCGAAAGCGGGGUUCGACUCCCCGACAGAGAG
This 95-nucleotide transfer RNA is filed under the name Lentinus tigrinus ALCF2SS1-7. RNAcentral's name for it is "tRNA-Asp". Lineage: Eukaryota; Fungi; Basidiomycota; Agaricomycetes; Polyporales; Polyporaceae. The record is from RNAcentral. RNAcentral also lists the same sequence under 1 other name.